Hemibagrus wyckioides is the source of this 1106-nucleotide long non-coding RNA. RefSeq lists it as uncharacterized. The transcript is spliced from 4 exons. The record is from RefSeq and is a predicted model, not a curated record. NCBI's taxonomy places the organism in Eukaryota, Metazoa, Chordata, Actinopteri, Siluriformes, Bagridae.
UAAUGUCCGAAUAUCAAACUAACUUCACCGCAGUUCUGAUUAUGUCGUGAUCACGAGAAAACAACUUUUGUUAACUCGAGAUCAUGGGAAAAUUAAGUCGUGAUCACGAGAAAACAACUUUUGUUAUCUAGAGAUCAUGAGAAAUUUAAGUCGUGAUCAUGAGAAAACAAAAGCAAAAAAAAUAAUAUCACAUGGCCUCUCUGGGCUUCCAUAAUUGAUACUGGUGCUCUCAGUAAAGAAUUUCUAACAGAAAUGCUUGCUGAGAUUGAAAAGAAACUUUACCUGGGCAGCACAGACAAGAAGGGGAAGAAUCCGCUGUACUGUCUUAACAGCCUGGAUCACAACUACUUCAGGUGCAUUCUGGUGUCCAAGUCUGUUGUAUAUAAUCAGUGUUGGGUCUGCAGGAGAAGUUAUAGCAGCUAGUAUGGCACAAGGUGGACCUCUGCCCAACUUCAUGUGUGAAUGGUGCUUCAGGUACCUCUGUUCUGGUGAUUCAGACAGCAUACAGAUGUCUACCACCGAUGUCAUAGAUUUGGAAUUGUCACAGCUUAUUAUAGUUACAUAAUACUAGUUAUAUAAUUACAAAUUAUAUAAGGUAAUUAUGUUGCUGAAAUCUGACUAAACACUAUACUGUUUACUCUAAAAUGUACUUGCACAUAUAUUAAACCUCGACAGGGAUGAUGUUACUUGCUGGUGUUUUGCCUAUUUGUCUGUAUGAAAUUGCAUGAAACUGUUGCAGUGGCAAUAGGAUGGUGAAGAAUUGAAUAACAGUCAACAGUUGUGACUUUAACAGGAAACAUCUUUAAUUGACAAUUUGUGUGCUGAGACAAAUCUGUUUCAUUUAUGCUUUGAGGUAAAUGGAGCAACUGAUGAGAGUAUUAACAAGCUUAUUGAUGACCCUUAUGAUAUGAUCAUAAGCUGUGGAUACACUGGAAAAGUGUCUGUGGAAGAAAAAGAACUCAUAAUCAGGGCAAAUGUACUGCACUCAACCAUGAGAGUUGUCUCAUGUCCACAUGCUUGACCAGCUGAGAAAAGGCCUGCAGCUGUAUGACCUGCUGGCAGUCAUGAAGACACACCCAGACCUUUGUCUGCCAUUGUUUCAGGGG